This 133-nucleotide small nucleolar RNA is filed under the name Cebus imitator (Panamanian white-faced capuchin). RNAcentral describes it as "U8 small nucleolar RNA (ENSCCAG00000000564.1)". It matches the Rfam family "U8 small nucleolar RNA". From Rfam's summary of the family: U8 is a member of the C/D class of snoRNA which contain the C (UGAUGA) and D (CUGA) box motifs. Lineage: Eukaryota; Metazoa; Chordata; Mammalia; Primates; Cebidae. The record is from Rfam by way of RNAcentral.
UCGUCAGGUGGGAUGAUCCUCACCUGUUCCUCCUUUGGAGGACAAAUAAAACAGGAUGAUUGGAGAUGCGUGAAACGUGAUUGACGUCUCUGCGUAAUCAGGACUUGCAACACCCUGAUUGCUCCUAUCUGAU